GUGCUGGCUUCGGCAGCACAUAUAAUUAAAAUUGGAAAGAUACAGAGAAGAUUGGCAUGGCACCUGUGCAAGGAAGACACACAAAUUCGUGAAGCAGUCCGUGGUUUU
Molecule: small nuclear RNA, 108 nt
Organism: Nannospalax galili (Upper Galilee mountains blind mole rat)
Lineage: Eukaryota; Metazoa; Chordata; Mammalia; Rodentia; Spalacidae
Source: Ensembl